This 245-nucleotide unclassified non-coding RNA is filed under the name plant metagenome. RNAcentral's name for it is "partial contains small subunit ribosomal RNA, internal transcribed spacer 1, and 5.8S ribosomal RNA". The record is from RNAcentral.
UCUCCGUUGGUGAACCAGCGGAGGAAUCAUUACCGAGUUUACAACUCCCAAACCCAAUGUGAACGUUACCAAACUGUUGCCUCGGCGGGGUCACGCCCCGGGUGCGUCGCAGCCCCGGAACCAGGCGCCCGCCGGAGGAACCAACCAAACUCUUUCUGUAGUCCCCUCGCGGACGUUAUUUCUUACAGCUCUGAGCAAAAAUUCAAAAUGAAUCAAAACUUUCAACAACGGAUCUCUUGGUUCUG